This 253-nucleotide ribosomal RNA is filed under the name uncultured bacterium. RNAcentral describes it as "partial 16S ribosomal RNA". It matches the Rfam family "Bacterial small subunit ribosomal RNA", at positions 524 to 776 of the family's 1533-position model. The record is from RNAcentral.
GACGGAGGGGGCUAGCGUUGUUCGGAAUGACUGGGCGUAAAGGGCGCGUAGGUGGUUUUUCAAGUGAGGCGUGAAAGCCCCGGGCUUAACCUGGGAACUGCGUUUCAUACUGGAUGACUAGAGGACGAGAGAGGAAAGUGGAAUUCCGAGUGUAGAGGUGAAAUUCGUAGAUAUUCGGAGGAACACCAGAGGCGAAGGCGGCUUUCUGGCUCGUAUCUGACGCUGAGGCGCGAAAGCGUGGGGAGCAAACAGG